RNAcentral lists this long non-coding RNA (698 nucleotides) under Anas platyrhynchos platyrhynchos (common mallard). Its description in RNAcentral is "lncRNA (ENSAPLG00000028390.1)". The record is from RNAcentral. Lineage: Eukaryota; Metazoa; Chordata; Aves; Anseriformes; Anatidae.
GAUAAAAGUAACACAAAACUUCACUAAAAAGUUGUGCAACUUUCCUAAUUUGGUAGAAGAGAUAAAUGUUUGCAAGUUUGCACAUUCUCCUCUUUNNNNNNNNNNCACCAAGUAGUGCAAUAAAUGACCAGCCACAGCAGUCUGUCACGGCAGUCUCCCGUUCUUACCUGCAACAGCAAAGGAACAUGCUGAGAGAGGUGGCGUGUGAGGCUACUACUGGAAGGUUUCCAGACCUAUUCAUGCUGGCAGCUCUAUUCUUAACAGCCAAGAGAGACCUCUUACCCAGCAUCUGAUCUUUACAGCAAGAAAAGAUACUGAACUGUUUACAAGGUCAUACUGAUCUAAGAAGAUAUGACAGUGAAACCUUACUACUCCAUGCAAGUGAAACAAGGGUAGCUGUACUUAUUCUGGAAGAAACAGAUGAGUCGAAGGCUCUGCCAUUUUGUCUGAACAAGCCAGGGUAUCUUCAUGGAGAAUUUGGAAAUACCUUAAUCAACUCAAUUAUCUGUUAUUUUAAAUUAAUUCAAUAUGGCUAUAAUCAAAUACUAUAUGGUAGCUGAAUUUUAUAUAGACUAGUUGGAUAACUAUUUUAAGUGUGAUUCGAGAUGACAUUUACUAGAUCGCAGCAUAAAUUGGAGUUGUCCUGGAAUUUAAUAUAUCACAAUAAAAUAAAUUUUCUCAAUGGAUGUGGUAAAGCA